RNAcentral lists this ribosomal RNA (483 nucleotides) under uncultured bacterium. RNAcentral describes it as "partial 16S ribosomal RNA". It matches the Rfam family "Bacterial small subunit ribosomal RNA", at positions 29 to 506 of the family's 1533-position model. The record is from RNAcentral.
AUUGAACGCUGGCGGCAUGCUUUACACAUGCAAGUCGAACGGCAGCGCGGGCUUCGGCCUGGCGGCGAGUGGCGAACGGGUGAGUAAUACAUCGGAACGUGCCCAGUAGUGGGGGAUAGCUCGGCGAAAGCCGGAUUAAUACCGCAUACGACCUGAGGGUGAAAGCGGGGGAUCUUCGGACCUCGCGCUAUUGGAGCGGCCGAUGGCAGAUUAGCUAGUUGGUGGGGUAAAGGCCUACCAAGGCGACGAUCUGUAGCUGGUCUGAGAGGACGACCAGCCAAACUGGGACUGAGACACGGCCCAGACCCCUAGGGGAGGCAGCAGGGGGGAAUUUUGGAAAAUGGGCGAAAGCCUGAUCCAGCAAUGCCGGGUGUGUGAUGAAGGCCUUCGGGUUGUAAAGCACUUUUGGCGGGAACGAAAAGGACUGUGCCAAUACCACGGUUCGAUGACGGUACCCGCAAAAUAAGCACCGGCUAACUACGG